ACAAGCAGUGGAGUAUGUGGUUUAAUUCGAAGCAACGCGAAGAACCUUACUAGGGCUUGACAUCCCUUGAAGCAGCUAGAGAUAGCUGUGUCCUUCGGGACAAGGAGACAGGUGGUGCAUGGUUGUCGUCAGCUCGUGUCGUGAGAUGUUGGGUUAAGUCCCGCAACGAGCGCAACCCCUGUGGUUAGUUGCCAGCAAGUAGCGUUGGGCACUCUAGCCAGACUGCCGGUGAUAAAUCGGAGGAAGGUGGGGACGACGUCAAAUCAUCAUGCCCUUUAUGUCCUGGGCUACACACGUACUACAAUGGCCGUUACAACGGGAAGCGAAGGAGCAAUCCGGAGCAAAUCCCUUAAAGGCGGUCCCAGUUCAGAUUGUGGGCUGAAACUCGCCCACAUGAAGGCGGAAUUGCUAGUAAUUGCAGAUCAGCAUGCUGCAGUGAAUACGUUCCCGGGCCUU
Molecule: ribosomal RNA, 456 nt
Filed under: uncultured bacterium
Lineage: Bacteria
Description: bacterial SSU rRNA
Rfam family: Bacterial small subunit ribosomal RNA
Source: RNAcentral